UUAGAGUUUGAUCCUGGCUCAGGAUGAACGCUAGCGGCAGGCUUAACACAUGCAAGUCGAGGGGCAGCGAGAUCAGUGCUUGCACUGAUUGUCGGCGACCGGCGCACGGGUGCGUAACGCGCAUGCAACCUACCCAUUACAGGGGGAUAACACUGAGAAAUCGGUACUAAUACCCCAUAACAUCCAGGGAGGCAUCUUCUUGGGUUGAAAACUCCGGUGGUAAUGGAUGGGCAUGCGUUGUAUUAGUUAGUUGGUGGGGUAACGGCUCACCAAGACAACGAUACAUAGGGGGACUGAGAGGUUAACCCCCCACAUUGGUACUGAGACACGGACCAAACUCCUACGGGAGGCAGCAGUGAGGAAUAUUGGUCAAUGGACGCAAGUCUGAACCAGCCAUGCCGCGUGCAGGAAGACGGCUCUAUGAGUUGUAAACUGCUUUUGUACGAGGGUAAACGCAGAUACGCGUAUCUGUCUGAAAGUAUCGUACGAAUAAGGAUCGGCUAACUCCGUGCCAGCAGCCGCGGUAAUACGGAGGAUUCAAGCGUUAUCCGGAUUUAUUGGGUUUAAAGGGUGCGUAGGCGGUCGGAUAAGUUAGAGGUGAAAUCCCGGGGCUCAACUUCGGAAUUGCCUCUGAUACUGUUCGGCUAGAGAGUAGUUGCGGUAGGCGGAAUGUAUGGUGUAGCGGUGAAAUGCUUAGAGAUCAUACAGAACACCGAUUGCGAAGGCAGCUUACCAAGCUACUUCUGACGUUGAGGCACGAAAGCGUGGGGAGCAAACAGGAUUAGAUACCCUGGUAGUCCACGCAGUAAACCAUGAAAACUCGUUGGUCGGCGAUACAGUGGUCGGGAAUAAGCGA
This 856-nucleotide ribosomal RNA is filed under the name uncultured bacterium. RNAcentral's name for it is "bacterial SSU rRNA". It matches the Rfam family "Bacterial small subunit ribosomal RNA", at positions 1 to 854 of the family's 1533-position model. The record is from RNAcentral.